GAGCAGCUCACCAAAAGCACUUAGGAAGAGGGGAAUAUUUGUGUUAGAGUUUCUUGCGCUGCCAUGAUAUUCAUAUCUUAGGCUUCUGAAGGUGUUCUCCAGUACCCAGUUUCUAUUUCCCUUCUGAACUUUCAAGACCUACCCCAUGUGUGUGUUCUUCUUCAUGGACUUUUAUGACUGACACCUCUCAUCCCUCACAACAUAUUCCAUAGCCUAGGAUGGAUCCACAACCACAUGUUUCUAUCUCUGCCUGGCUUCCACAAAACACCAGAUGAGACAAAUGGAGAAAAGGAAUGCCAGGCAAGGAAAAUAUCACAGAGUUUGUGAGACUGACAGAAAAGUAGGCUUACCUAAUUAAGGUGUAGAG
Molecule: long non-coding RNA, 367 nt
Filed under: Bos taurus (domestic cattle)
Lineage: Eukaryota; Metazoa; Chordata; Mammalia; Artiodactyla; Bovidae
Description: long non-coding RNA NONBTAT026504
Source: RNAcentral